GACAGAGGGUGCAAACGUUGCUCGGAAUUACUGGGCGUAAAGCGCGUGUAGGUGGUCUGAUCAGUCGGAUGUGAAAGCCCUGGGCUCAACCCGGGAAGUGCAUUCGAUACUGCCAGACUGGAGUCUUGAAGAGGAGAGCGGAAUUCCCGGUGUAGAGGUGAAAUUCGUAGAUAUCGGGAGGAACACCAGUGGCGAAGGCGGCUCUCUGGGCAAUGACUGACACUGAGACGCGAAAGCGUGGGAAGCAAACAGG
Molecule: ribosomal RNA, 253 nt
Filed under: uncultured bacterium
Lineage: Bacteria
Description: partial 16S ribosomal RNA
Rfam family: Bacterial small subunit ribosomal RNA
Source: RNAcentral